RNAcentral lists this ribosomal RNA (464 nucleotides) under uncultured bacterium. RNAcentral's name for it is "partial 16S ribosomal RNA". It matches the Rfam family "Bacterial small subunit ribosomal RNA", at positions 29 to 507 of the family's 1533-position model. The record is from RNAcentral.
ACGCACGCUGGCGGCGUGCUUAACACAUGCCAGUCGAACGGAAAGGCCCUGCUUGCAGGGUACUCGAGUGGCGAACGGGUGGGUAACACGUGGGUGAUCUGCCCUGCACUUCGGGAUAAGCCUGGGAAACUGGGUCUAAUACCGGAUAGGAGCCAUUUUUAGUGUGUUGGUUGGAAAGUUUUUUCGGUGUAGGAUGAGCUCGCGGCCUAUCAGCUUGUUGGUGGGGUAAUGGCCUACCAAGGCGGGGCCGGGUAGCCGGGCUGGGAGGGUGGACUGCCACAUUGGGGCUGAGAUACGGCCCAGACUCCUACGGGAGGCAGCAGUGGGGAAUAUUGCACAAUGGGCGCAAGCCUGAUGCAGCGAAGCCGCGUGGGGGAUGACGGCCUUCGGGUUGUAAAAUCCGUUCGCUAGGGACGAAGCUUUUUGUGACGGUACCUAGAUAAGAAGCACCGGCUAACUACGUG